Molecule: small RNA, 594 nt
Filed under: Gymnopus sp. 7090104
Lineage: Eukaryota; Fungi; Basidiomycota; Agaricomycetes; Agaricales; Omphalotaceae
Description: eukaryotic LSU rRNA
Rfam family: Eukaryotic large subunit ribosomal RNA
Source: RNAcentral
GGAUUCCCCUAGUAACUGCGAGUGAAGAGGGAAAAGCUCAAAUUUAAAAUCUGGCAGUUUCACUGUCCGAGUUGUAAUUUAGAGAAGUGUUGCCCGCGUUGGACCGUGUACAAGUCUCCUGGAAUGGAGCGUCAUAGAGGGUGAGAAUCCCGUCUUUGACACGGACUCCCAGUGCAUUGUGGUGCGCUCUCGAAGAGUCGAGUUGUUUGGGAAUGCAGCUCUAAAUGGGUGGUAAAUUCCAUCUAAAGCUAAAUAUUGGGGAGAGACCGAUAGCGAACAAGUACCGUGAGGGAAAGAUGAAAAGAACUUUGGAAAGAGAGUUAAACAGUACGUGAAAUUGCUGAAAGGGAAACGCUUGAAGUCAGUCGCGUUAGCUGGGGAUCAGCCUUCCUUUUGGUUGGUGUACUUCCUAGUUGAUGGGUCAGCAUCAGUUUUGACCGGUGGAUAAAAGCUUGAGGAAUGUGGCAUCUUCGGGUGUGUUAUAGCCUCUUGUUGUAUACAUUGGUUGGGACUGAGGAACUCAGCACGCCGCAAGGCCGGGUCUUUGACCACGUUCGUGCUUAGGAUGCUGGCAUAAUGGCUUUAAUCGACCCG